UGAGGAAUAUUGGGCAAUGCCCGCAAGGGUGACCCAGCAACGCCGCGUGGAGGAUGAAUGUCGUAAGAUUGUAAACUCCUGUUAGAGGGGAAGAAUAGUACCGGUUGGACCGGUAUAUGACUGUACCCUCAGAGAAAGCCCCGGCUAACUACGUGCCAGCAGCCGCGGUAAUACGUAGGGGGCAAGCGUUGUCCGGAUUUACUGGGUGUAAAGGGCGCGCAGGCGGGAUAAAAAGUCAGUGGUGAAAUCCUACAGCUUAACUGUAGAAAUGCCUUGGAUACUUUUAUUCUUGAGUUCGGGAGAGAGAGACGGAAUUCCAGGUGUAGUGGUGAAAUACGUAGAUAUCUGGAAGGACACCAGUUGCGAAGGCGGUCUCUUGGUCCGACACUGACGCUGAGGCGCGAAAGCGUGGGAAGCAAACA
Molecule: ribosomal RNA, 422 nt
Filed under: uncultured bacterium
Lineage: Bacteria
Description: bacterial SSU rRNA
Rfam family: Bacterial small subunit ribosomal RNA
Source: RNAcentral